Molecule: ribosomal RNA, 466 nt
Filed under: uncultured bacterium
Lineage: Bacteria
Description: partial 16S ribosomal RNA
Rfam family: Bacterial small subunit ribosomal RNA
Source: RNAcentral
GAUGAACGCUGGCGGCGUGCUUAACACAUGCAAGUCGAACGGUGAAAGAGAGCUUGCUCUCUGGAUCAGUGGCGAACGGGUGAGUAACACGUGAGCAAUCUGCCCCUGACUCUGGGAUAAGCGCUGGAAACGGCGUCUAAUACCGGCUACGAGCUUCGAAGGCAUCUUCAGCAGCUGGAAAGAACUUCGGUCAGGGCUGAGCUCGCGGCCUAUCAGCUAGUUGGUGAGGUAACGGCUGACCAAGGCGUCGACGGGUAGCCGGCCUGAGAGGGUGACCGGCCACACUGGGACUGAGACACGGCCCAGACUCCUACGGGAGGCAGCAGCGGGGAAUAUUGCACAAUGGGCGAAAGCCUGAUGCAGCAACGCCGCGUGAGGGACGACGGCCUUCGGGUUGUAAACCUCUUUUAGCAGGGAAGAAGCGAAAGUGACGGUACCUGCAGAAAAAGCACCGGCUAACUACGUG